AUACGUAGGGAGCGAGCGUUGUCCGGAAUUACUGGGUGUAUAGGGAGCGUAGGCGGGAGUGCAAGUCAGAUGUGAAAUACAUGGGCUCAACCCAUGGGCUGCAUUUGAAACUGCAUUUCUUGAGUGAAGUAGAGGUAAGCGGAAUUCCUGGUGUAGCGGUGAAAUGCGUAGAUAUCAGGAGGAACACCGGUGGCGAAGGCGGCUUACUGGGCUUUUACUGACGCUGAGGCUCGAAAGCGUGGGGAGCAAACAGGAUUAGAUACCCUGGUAGUCCACGCUGUAAACGAUGAUUACUAGGUGUGGGGGGACUGACCCCUUCCGUGCCGCAGUUAACACAAUAAGUAAUCCACCUGGGGAGUACGAUCGCAAGAUUGAAACUCAAAUGAAUUGACGGGG
This 396-nucleotide ribosomal RNA is filed under the name uncultured bacterium. RNAcentral describes it as "partial 16S ribosomal RNA". It matches the Rfam family "Bacterial small subunit ribosomal RNA", at positions 523 to 918 of the family's 1533-position model. The record is from RNAcentral.